Molecule: long non-coding RNA, 286 nt
Filed under: Linum usitatissimum (flax)
Lineage: Eukaryota; Viridiplantae; Streptophyta; Magnoliopsida; Malpighiales; Linaceae
Description: long non-coding RNA (LUSI_LNC001500)
Source: RNAcentral
UUGACAGUAGUAGCCUACAUCACUCCACGUUCACAUUAUUAUCGAAAAUGAGAUUAGUUCUGGCAGCUCUGCCCGAGUAGGUAAUGGGACAGUACCAUAUCAUGCAUGCUAAAGAAUAGAUAACGGAACUCGUGGACAUUAAGCUUGAUGCAAAAGAUUAUGCAUCUGAAGGAAAAAAAGUGCUUCAAAGCAAGCAAGAGAGCAAGGAACUUACAUUUAACUGGAGGUUCAAAUUUUACAAGGUCGGGAGUAUCCACUAAUGAAUUCUUUUCACCAAGCAAUGGCG